Long non-coding RNA from Triticum dicoccoides, 2392 nucleotides. RefSeq lists it as uncharacterized. The record is from RefSeq and is a predicted model, not a curated record. Lineage: Eukaryota; Viridiplantae; Streptophyta; Magnoliopsida; Poales; Poaceae. The transcript has 2 exons.
AAGAAAAUCUAGCCCUGCACGCUUCGUCCCCAAUCUGUCGAUCCCCUCUCCGCUUGCCUCCUCCUCUCCCGGGUCGCUGCGCCGCCGGCUCAGCCGCUUCUCCUGCGCCUUCUCCUCCUCGCUCCUCUCCUCAUAGAUGAGUCCUCGACCAGAUCGGCAUCCAGCGCAGGAGGAUCCGGAUGGUCGUGGUGGUGGCAUAUUCAGCGGCGUCGCCGGACGAGCUCCAGGCGCGGGGGAGAUAUCUCCACGGGCCCGCGCAACCACGUCCCCUCGCUGACGUCGGCAUGUAGUCCGCCCAUGCCGUCGCGGAGAGGGAGCAGCCGCGCCCGGAAGAGGUCGUCCCCAACGUCUGCAUAAUCCAGUCCGGAUUUGUGGAGAGCCCGGCGCAGCACCGUCUACAGGCCCAUAUCUCUUACUCUACCUUCUUCCUUGCAAAGGCAAGGCUUCCAUUGCUCUUCAGUUCUGGUUACUAGUUGGAAACUGUAAAAAUAUCUGAUGAAGCACAUCAGCUUUCCACAGUGGCCAUGUAACUAAAUUCUGAAUGUUGCUUCGUUAUGACGCGUAGGAGCCCAAGCAGCACCAGGCACAUUUGAGUUUCCUCUCCCAACGCCAGCAAGUCCAUCAGCUGCUCCUCUUGCGUUAACACACACAGGACUAAACAUACCAUUCCCAUCGCCUUGGGCAUCUGCAAGGCAGAUACUACCUUCAGUUCCUGAAGCACUUGUCCUAUCAUGCUCCUGCCUGUAGUCACAAGAAUUACUUGUAAGGCAACAGUUUCUGCAAGUAUCAGGAACUAUUGCUUGCACUCUGCGGCACAGGAGCAUCUGCAUUAACAAAUCAGCAAAGUUUCAGAGAUGGUCUUACAGGGAAAAAAGCAUUUAUAGGGGAAAAAGCCCAUUUUACAGGGAUAGACUAACCUGAAGCCAAAGACCAUCAUUUAUAGCUUUGCAAGGAAAUUCAAAUUCUUCAAGUUGCUUUCGAACACUUAACAGUGCAUCAAAUGACAUAUUGUAAUAGAGAAGAGAACCCCUUUCAAAUAUAUUCAUGAAAGUAUUAUGCUUGAUGGAGCAGGGCCGGAGCUUCAAUGACGAAUCCACUAUUCGCAGACAGCCCAACUCGACAGGCACGAGCCAUGUCGACAGUCGAGGUGGCACUCAGGGGCAUGCUCACCUCGGCAGUCAUCAAGGUGGCGAGAUCAAUUCUACCAUUUCAGGCAACAUCAAGCUGCACAGGAAACUGAGGAACGAUCUAGAGAACAUGAAGAUGAUGCCAGAGUCGGUGGAGGUUGUGCUCGGCGACGUUGAGAGGGAGUCUAUCAAGCAUAAGUCCAUGCUUCUGUGGCUGAAUUGGCUUAAGGAUGCCGCGAACGACGUCUCCGACAUGCUUGAAGAUUUUGAAGAUGAAACCGACUUCAACCUGCUAUGCAAGAUUCUGUCGAUUUGGCCACUAUCAAUCUUGAUCUGAAUGAUGUUGUUUAAUAAUAGAUGAAUAUUUUUAGAUAAUGAACUACAUCUAAAACUUUUUUAUGUAGUGAAGUAGAUCUUAACCUCACUGUUGGAGUUGAUCUUUGAGUCGAUGUUAAGUAAAAGCUACUUCUGCUUGUUGAUGCAAGACCACCUUUAGAUUCGAAAAUGUCCCUGCCUUCUUUUGUUUGACCAAUAGUAAGCUAUGUCCACAAAUACCAUGAUUUGAUUGAGGGGAAAGUGAAGUAGAACUAGUCUGGUAUCCCAAGUGUAAUAUCAGUUUCUGCAUUGUUUUUCUCAACCACCUGAUUGAAACUAGUUUGUAAUGCCAUCUCCGCCCCUUUCAAGCCUUCCAUGGUACUGAUACACCGCAUUGUACCUCUUGCAGCGGGCAGCCACGAUGAAGAAGAUUAAGAUGCCACGUAAGAUGAGAUCGAUGCAAAAGCGCCUACAAAAGAUGGACUGUGAUAGUUAUGGUGUUCAGCCAGAAAUUCACUACAAGGAGUGGCAAGUUCCUGACAUCCAGGAAACAACAGGAUAUGUGGAGGAGGCAGAAAUCAUCCGCAGGACUGAUGAUGAAAGGAAAAUCUUGGAUUGCAUAUCUGGGAGCAAUAGUUAUUUCCCCCUGCUUUUGAUUACAGUGAUUGGAGUCAGUAGGUAGUGAUUAGAGUCAGUAGGUAAUACAGGACAUGGUAAAUUUCAUUGGAAUAUAACUUGCAAGUUGAUGGGUUCAGAACCUUUGUGCUGUGAAAAAGAGUUACAUUCUUAUGAUUAUGCCACUGGACUAUGGCCAUUUUCCCUUCAAAUUAGCUAGGAAUCUGUCUAUUUAGGCAGUGUAUGGCGCCGUAUAGAAUGGACAGUAAUUAUGUAUAGUAUUUCUUCGAAAACCAGAAUUGGCUCAAUUUGGAAGAAUGGCUGCUUUAUGUGAA